GCUGGGCAUAGUGGCACACGCCUGUAAUUCCAGCAACUCGGGAGGCUGAGGCAAGAGGAUUGCAAGUUCUAGGCCAGCCUCCUCAACUUAGCAAGAUCCUGUCUCUA
RNAcentral lists this small RNA (107 nucleotides) under Marmota monax (woodchuck). The record is from RNAcentral. Lineage: Eukaryota; Metazoa; Chordata; Mammalia; Rodentia; Sciuridae.